CGGAAAGUAGCUUAACAGGUAGAGCGUUGGUCUCCAAAACCAAAGAUGAAGGUUCGAGUCCUUUCUUUCCUG
This 72-nucleotide transfer RNA is filed under the name Pleurostomum flabellatum. Its description in RNAcentral is "tRNA-Trp". It matches the Rfam family "tRNA". Rfam says of the family: Transfer RNA (tRNA) molecules are approximately 80 nucleotides in length. The record is from RNAcentral. Lineage: Eukaryota; Heterolobosea; Eutetramitea; Acrasida; Tulamoebidae.